GAUUAGAUACCCUGGUAGUCCACACCGUAAACGCUGUCUACUAGCUGUUUGUGGAUAUUAUCCGUGAGUAGCGAAGCUAACGCGCUAAGUAGACCGCCUGGGGAGUACGGCCGCAAGGUUAAAACUCAAAGGAAUUGACGGGGGCUCACACAAGCGGUGGAGGAUGUGGCUUAAUUCGAGGCAACGCGAAGAACCUUAUCCCGGACUUGACAUCUAUGGAUUAGCAUUGUGAAAGCAGUGUGACGCCUUCGGGUGGAACAUAGACAGGUGCUGCAUGGCUGUCGUCAGCUCGUGCCG
RNAcentral lists this ribosomal RNA (297 nucleotides) under Schmidingerella taraikaensis. RNAcentral's name for it is "partial Bacterial small subunit ribosomal RNA". It matches the Rfam family "Bacterial small subunit ribosomal RNA", at positions 776 to 1067 of the family's 1533-position model. The record is from RNAcentral. Lineage: Eukaryota; Ciliophora; Spirotrichea; Tintinnida; Rhabdonellidae.